Molecule: ribosomal RNA, 637 nt
Filed under: uncultured bacterium
Lineage: Bacteria
Description: bacterial SSU rRNA
Rfam family: Bacterial small subunit ribosomal RNA (bases 1-539)
Source: RNAcentral
CCUACGGGAGGCAGCAGUGGGGAAUAUUGGACAAUGGGCGAAAGCCUGAUCCAGCAAUUCCGCGUGUGUGAAGAAAGCCUUCGGGUUGUAAAGCACUUUAGUGGGGGAAGAAACAGCUUGGCCACACCAAGCCUUGACGGUACCCCAAGAAUAAGCACCGGCUAACUCUGUGCCAGCAGCCGCGGUAAUACAGAGGGUGCAAGCGUUAAUCGGAUUUACUGGGCGUAAAGGGUGCGUAGGUGGCUAUUUAAGUCGGAUGUGAAAGCCCGGGGCUCAACCUCGGAAUUGCAUUCGAUACUGAGUGGCUAGAGUUCGGUAGAGGGCGGCGGAAUUUCCGGUGUAGCGGUGAAAUGCGUAGAUAUCGGAAGGAACAUCAAUGGCGAAGGCAGCCGCCUGGGCCUGGACUGACACUGAGGCACGAAAGCGUGGGUAGCAAACAGGAUUAGAUACCCUGGUAGUCCACGCCGUAAACGAUGAGAACUUGACGUUGGUUCGUUUUACGAAUCGGUGUCGCAGCUACGACGAUAAGUUACUCCGCCGUCGGGUAGGUACGGCCGGCCGAACGGUUAGGUAAACGUACAAAUAGAAGUUAGUACGGCGUGAGACGUGCCGAACGGACGACGACGAGGGAGGUAGG